UAGGGAAUCUUCGGCAAUGGGGGGAACCCUGACCGAGCAACGCCGCGCGAGUGAAGAAGGUUUUCGGAUCGUAAAGCUCUGUUGUUAAGGAAGAACGAGUGUGAGAAUGGAAAGUUCAUGCUGUGACGGUACUUAACCAGAAAGGGACGGCUAACUACGUGCCAGCAGCCGCGGUAAUACGUAGGUCCCGAGCGUUGUCCGGAUUUAUUGGGCGUAAAGCGAGCGCAGGCGGUUAGAAAAGUCUGAAGUGAAAGGCAGUGGCUCAACCAUUGUAGGCUUUGGAAACUGUUUAACUUGAGUGCAGAAGGGGAGAGUGGAAUUCCAUGUGUAGCGGUGAAAUGCGUAGAUAUAUGGAGGAACACCGGUGGCGAAAGCGGCUCUCUGGUCUGUAACUGACGCUGAGGCUCGAAAGCGUGGGGAGCGAACAGG
This 429-nucleotide ribosomal RNA is filed under the name Bacteroidota bacterium. RNAcentral describes it as "Bacteroidetes bacterium partial 16S ribosomal RNA". It matches the Rfam family "Bacterial small subunit ribosomal RNA", at positions 355 to 776 of the family's 1533-position model. RNAcentral also lists the same sequence under 1 other name. The record is from RNAcentral. Lineage: Bacteria; Pseudomonadati; Bacteroidota.